AGCAGCCGCGGUAAUUCCAGCUCCAAUAGCGUAUAUUAAAGUUGUUGCAGUUAAAAAGCUCGUAGUUGAAUUUCGAGAUCAAUUUGCCGGUCGUGCCUCGGUACGUACUGGCAUUAUUGAUUUCUCCCUUCUGAAGAACCGCGAUGUCAUUAAUUUGGUGUCGUGGGAAAUCAGGACUGUUACUUUGAAAAAUUAGAGUGUUUAAAGCAGGCUUACGCUUGAAUACAUUAGCAUGGAAUAAUGAAAUAGGACGUUUGAUUCUAUUUUGUGGUUUCUAGGAUCGACGUAAUGAUUAAUAGGGAUAGUUGGGGCAUUAGUAUUCAAUUGUCAGAGGUGAAAUUCUUGGAUUUAUUGAAGACUAACUACUGC
RNAcentral lists this ribosomal RNA (369 nucleotides) under uncultured Glomeromycotina. Its description in RNAcentral is "SSU rRNA". It matches the Rfam family "Eukaryotic small subunit ribosomal RNA", at positions 569 to 946 of the family's 1831-position model. Lineage: Eukaryota; Fungi; Glomeromycota. The record is from RNAcentral.